AAAGUCGUAACAAGGUUUCCGUAGGUGAACCUGCGGAAGGAUCAUUACCGAGUGCGUCCAUUAAUUUGGACACCUCCCACCCUUGUGUAAUUUUAUGCUGAUAAGCAGCUUCGGCGAGCCGUUUUUGAAGUUUGGGGUUACUAGUAGCAACAACUUGGAAAACGUCGGCCCUAAAAAGCGGAUUUGCGCUCGCCGAAGGACCAACUCUUGAUAAUUUGAAGUCUGAUAAAACAAACUUAAUAAAUCAAAACUUUCAACAACGGAUCUCUUGGUUCUG
RNAcentral lists this unclassified non-coding RNA (277 nucleotides) under Ascomycota sp. RNAcentral's name for it is "partial contains small subunit ribosomal RNA, internal transcribed spacer 1, and 5.8S ribosomal RNA". The stretch from base 1 to 47 matches the Rfam family "Eukaryotic small subunit ribosomal RNA", at positions 1785 to 1831 of the family's 1831-position model. Lineage: Eukaryota; Fungi; Ascomycota. The record is from RNAcentral.